UACGAAGGGGGCUAGCGUUGCUCGGAAUCACUGGGCGUAAAGGGUGCGUAGGCGGGUCUUUAAGUCAGGGGUGAAAUCCUGGAGCUCAACUCCAGAACUGCCUUUGAUACUGAGGAUCUUGAGUUCGGGGAGAGGUGAGUGGAACUGCGAGUGUAGAGGUGAAAUUCGUAGAUAUUCGCAAGAACACCAGUGGCGAAGGCGGCUCACUGGCCCGAUACUGACGCUGAGGCACGAAAGCGUGGGAGCAACA
This 250-nucleotide ribosomal RNA is filed under the name uncultured bacterium. RNAcentral describes it as "partial 16S ribosomal RNA". It matches the Rfam family "Bacterial small subunit ribosomal RNA", at positions 524 to 773 of the family's 1533-position model. The record is from RNAcentral.